UGUGAACCCCUUUGACCUCAAAUCGGGUGAGACUACCCGCUGAACUUAAGCAUA
This 54-nucleotide ribosomal RNA is filed under the name Lactifluus volemus. RNAcentral describes it as "Lactarius volemus partial 28S ribosomal RNA". Lineage: Eukaryota; Fungi; Basidiomycota; Agaricomycetes; Russulales; Russulaceae. The record is from RNAcentral.